Long non-coding RNA from Dermacentor andersoni, 472 nucleotides. RefSeq lists it as uncharacterized. The record is from RefSeq and is a predicted model, not a curated record. Lineage: Eukaryota; Metazoa; Arthropoda; Arachnida; Ixodida; Ixodidae.
UCUACAAAAGUGACAUUGCUCCUUUUUGCCUGACCCCAACCCUUUCCAGAGGGCUCUGGUAUUGAUAGAAGCUUUGCUGCGAAAGGGUGACAUUGAUCUGGCCAGCCAGGGGGCACCACUUUUGGCACAGCUUCAAGACUUGCAGGCGAAAUCAUCUGAUCCUGUCCAAGUCAAAGCCAGGAAGAUUUCCCUGAUCAUCCAGAAGCUGAUAGAGGAGCCCGAGACAUGACUACCAAGUGUGUGGCUACCACCAUAUGUGUGUGUGACUACCAUAUGUGUGGCUAAUUAUUCCAUAGGUAUGACAAAGUGCAGCAGUGAAUCUAGACAGACACAAAAACAAACAUGACAUGACAGGUUCUGCCGUGCCAUGUCUUUUUAUUUGAUUCAGUAGUAGCUUGGUCGGUUUGCACCCAGGACAGACUCAGCACUUUGCCAAGCCUUUUUAUUAAAGUCUGUAACAGUCACUGCCACA